CGUUAAGUAGACCGCCUGGGGAGUACGGCCGCAAGGUUAAAACUCAAAUGAAUUGACGGGGGCCCGCACAAGCGGUGGAGCAUGUGGUUUAAUUCGAUGCAACGCGAAGAACCUUACCUGGUCUUGACAUCCACAGAAGAAUCCAGAGAUGGAUUUGUGCCUUCGGGAACUGUGAGACAGGUGCUGCAUGGCUGUCGUCAGCUCGUGUUGUGAAAUGUUGGGUUAAGUCCCGCAACGAGCGCAACCCUUAUCCUUUGUUGCCAGCGGUUAGGCCGGGAACUCAAAGGAGACUGCCAGUGAUAAACUGGAGGAAGGUGGGGAUGACGUCAAGUCAUCAUGGCCCUUACGACCAGGGCUACACACGUGCUACAAUGGCGCAUACAAAGAGAAGCGACCUCGCGAGAGCAAGCGGACCUCAUAAAGUGCGUCGUAGUCCGGAUUGGAGUCUGCAACUCGACUCCAUGAAGUCGGAAUCGCUAGUAAUCGUGGAUCAGAAUGCCACGGUGAAUACGUUCCCGGGCCUUGUACACACCGCCCGUCACACCAUGGGAGUGGGUUGCAAAAGAAGUAGGUAGCUUAACCUUCGGGAGGGCGCUUACCACUUUGUGAUUCAUGACUGGGGUGAAGUCGUAACAAGGUAACCGUAGGGGAACCUGCGGUUGGAUCACCUCCUUAC
Molecule: ribosomal RNA, 676 nt
Filed under: Salmonella enterica subsp. enterica serovar Enteritidis
Lineage: Bacteria; Pseudomonadati; Pseudomonadota; Gammaproteobacteria; Enterobacterales; Enterobacteriaceae
Description: bacterial SSU rRNA
Rfam family: Bacterial small subunit ribosomal RNA
Source: RNAcentral